RNAcentral lists this long non-coding RNA (1652 nucleotides) under Sorghum bicolor (sorghum). RNAcentral's name for it is "long non-coding RNA (SBIC_LNC012753)". Lineage: Eukaryota; Viridiplantae; Streptophyta; Magnoliopsida; Poales; Poaceae. The record is from RNAcentral.
CUGGUAACUAUCGAUUUGGAGAAGAAGAGACACAAAUUGAUCCGCUUUCGAACAACACGAUCCGAAACUCAGCAAAUUCUUUUUAUUAUUUUUUAAUAUUUUUCUUUCAGUUAGGAGCACCAAAGGAGUAACCAUAGAAAAUUUAAGCUUAAACAAGUGAAAGACAUGGCCUGUGGAAUUUUCUGAAGUUUGUGAAAAAUGAGAAAAAAACUUCACGAGCUGAAAACUCAAACUUCGGAGGUGAAUUUAGAGAUUCUAAAGGUGUCAAAUCCACCAAUGGAGGGGACAGACAGAUACAAAAUUUUUUCUGAUCAAUUUUGAUAUAUGGAACGUUGAAAUCGGAGUUCGUAUGCGAAAGUUAUGGCUAUUUUACAAACGGACUCCGGAUUAGAGGACAAAACAGUCCGAAAUUGGGAAAAAUUUGCGGCGGUGGCUAGAAAUUGAUGGAAACAGUGGGGAAAAACAUAUGAACUGGACUCGAUAAAGACCUAACGAGCAACAAGACCUCGACCAGGACACAAACUCAACACUGUGGACUCUCAAACUGAAAUAUGCAAAGGCUAUGGCGUGGAAGGGUUGUAGGACAGAAAAAUGAUAUGGCACUGGACUUAUGGGACGAACACAAGAACACUCGAAACUAAGGGUAGAUAUGAACCUAACGGUACACCUAAAGCUUUGAUUACCACUUGAUGAGAACAAGGGCGGCCCGAUCUUCCGAAAGGUUCUGGUAACUCUCGAUUUGGUGGGGACGAGACACAAAUCGAUCCGGCUUCUAAACAACACGAUCUGAAAGCCUACAAUUUUUUUUAUUUUUUUGAUAUUUUUCUUUGAGUUAGGAGCACCAAAGGAGUAACCAUAGAAAAUUUGAGCUUAAACAUGUGAAAGACAUGGCCUGUGGAAUUUUCUGAAGAUUGUGAAAAAUGUGAAAAAACUUCGCGAGGUGAAAACUCAAACUUCGGAGGUGAAUUUGGAGGUUUUAAAGUUUUCAAACCCGCCAAUGGAGGGGACACACAGAUCCAAAAAUUUUUUCUAAUGAAUUUUGAUAUAUGGAACAUUGAAAUCGAAGUUCGUAUGCGAAAGUUAUGGUUAUUUUACAAACGGAUUCCGAAUUAGAGGACAAAACGGUCCGAAAGUGAGAAUAAUUUGCGGUGGUGGCUAGAAAUUGAUGCAAACAGUGGGGAAAAACAUAUGAACUAGACUUUAACAAGACCUAACCAGCAACAAGACCUAGACCAGGAGACAAACUCAACACUUCGGACAAUGAAACUGUAAUAUGCGAAGGCUAUAGCGUGGAAGGGUUGUAGGACAGAAAAAUGAUAUGGCACUGGACUUAUGGGACGAAUACAAGAACACUCGAAACUAAAGGUAGUUAUAAACCUAAAGGUAUACCUAAAGCUUUGAUUACCACUUGAUUUGAACAAGGGUGGCCCGAUCUUCCGAAAGGUUCCGGUAACUAUCGAUUUGGAGGAGACGAGACACAAAUCGAUCCGGCUUCCGAACAACACGAUCCGAAACUCAGCAAAUUCUUUUUAUUUUUUUGUUAUUUUUCUUUCAGUUAGGAGCACCAAAGGAGUAACCACAAAAAAUUUUCUGUGGAGUAACAACAAGUGAAAUACAUGGCCUUUGGAAUUUUCUGAAGUUUCUGAAAAAUG